Helianthus annuus (common sunflower) is the source of this 255-nucleotide long non-coding RNA. RefSeq lists it as uncharacterized. The record is from RefSeq and is a predicted model, not a curated record. The transcript is spliced from 3 exons. Lineage: Eukaryota; Viridiplantae; Streptophyta; Magnoliopsida; Asterales; Asteraceae.
GCCUUAGGAGGACAUGCUAAAGAAUGCAAAUAAUCAAGGAACAACCAUCCUCCAUAAUCUGAAGGUAGAUUAUACUUUGGGAGAUUUCGAGGUAAUUUUAUGGAGCUACACAUAUUGGUGGUUGUUUAGGGGAGUUAACGGGCUCUCAUAUUCAUCGCUUUUCAUGGAGAAGGUAUCUAUCCGGCGACCCUUAGACGUGAAGCCCAACUUUGGAAAGGUCUAGAACAAAAAUGAUGAUCUACAUUGGCUUCAAUG